Notolabrus celidotus (New Zealand spotty) is the source of this 608-nucleotide long non-coding RNA. RefSeq lists it as uncharacterized. NCBI's taxonomy places the organism in Eukaryota, Metazoa, Chordata, Actinopteri, Labriformes, Labridae. The record is from RefSeq and is a predicted model, not a curated record. The transcript has 2 exons.
GGUGACGUAACCUCUGGAAACAGCCUGAAUACGAGUCAGCAACACAGACAGACGCUCGUCCCUCAUCUCCUCCAGGAGACCCAGCAGCCCCGCUUUGAAAAACACCUGCAGGGUCAAAGUGAUCGACGUCGAUGGAGGACAGAAGCUUCUCUGACGCCUUCUUACUGUCGAUGAACUGACCCUCAGGGAUCGCACUUGCAUUCAGAAUCCUGUACCUCUGUCUGAAGUCUCCGUACAGGAUCCUGCUGGGGAAUCCUUUUCUGCAGAUCCUGAUUCCUUCUAAAACUCCAUUACAGCGAAGCUGAUGAAGAACAAGAUGAUGAUCCAUGGAGCCUGCAAGAUGAAAUUACAUUAGUUAUAAAGGUUCAGCAUUUCAUGGUUUAACAUGUUGGCAAUGAAUGACAUCAUCCUUUCUCAUAUCUGGAGUGUAUGAAGCUAGAGCAAGCAGCAGCUAGCUUAGCUUAGCAUAAAAUGCACUGGAAACAGAUGGAAAUAGCUAACAUUGUUUUUUCACAUGCACUUUAAAGCUAAUCAAAAUAUUUUAUUUUCCUUUUCAUCUUUUUCUUUGAGUCAAAACUACAUGCAUUAAAAGUAGUCCAUCUUCUCUA